This is a long non-coding RNA of Mastomys coucha (southern multimammate mouse), 496 nucleotides long. RefSeq lists it as uncharacterized. The transcript has 2 exons. Lineage: Eukaryota; Metazoa; Chordata; Mammalia; Rodentia; Muridae. The record is from RefSeq and is a predicted model, not a curated record.
UGAGAAAGUUAAACAUCUGAAAGGUACCUUAAGCUCUGAUUGGGCUAGUCAGCUGGUUCAACCGGUUUAGGCGCUUGUGCAGGUCGGGCAACCUUCCAUCCUUGAAACCCAUGGAAAGGUGGAAGAGAACAGACUUCACCGGGUACACAUACAUCAAGUACAAAUAAAGAAUGAAAAAGAAAUAAAAGAGAAAGGAUAUGACUACCCCUAGCCAGGGCUACACAGAGAAUUCCUGACUCGGAAAACAAAACAAAACGAAACGAAACACCCAAAAUCUGGGCUGAAGAUAAGAAUCACCAGUUAAGAGCACCAGCUACUGUUUCAGAGGGCAGAGGGGUUGAUGCCCAGAGUCUACAGCACUUCUGUCUAUGACUACAACUCCUGGAGAAUUCCGAGCCCUCUUCUAGGGGCAUUGAAUGCACAGGGUGCACAGACAUAUCCACAGCAAUUUGACACCCAUAAAAGCAAAAAUAAAAUAAAAAAUAAAUAAUUUUGA